GAUGAAGAACGUAGCGAAAUGCGAUAAGUAGUGUGAAUUGCAGAAUUCAGAGAAUCAUCGAAUCUUUGAACGCACAUUGCGCCUUCUAGUAUUCUGGGAGGCAUGCCUGUUUGAGCGUCAUUAAACCUCUCUCAAGUAUGAUUACUUGGAUGUGAAGGAAGAGUACCUUAAACUUAAGGAGUGUUCUCCUUUGAAAUUGAUUAGCAGAUGGUAAUGUUAUUAAAUCCCUGAUGUUGUAAGAAAUAACAGUGGUUUUGUAGACUAUUAUCUAGCUUUAAAUUAUAAUUUUUAUUAUGGUUGACCUCAAAUCAGGUAAGGAUACCCGCUGAACUUAAGCAUAUCAAUAAGCGGAGGA
This 355-nucleotide unclassified non-coding RNA is filed under the name soil metagenome. RNAcentral's name for it is "partial contains 5.8S ribosomal RNA, internal transcribed spacer 2, and large subunit ribosomal RNA". The stretch from base 1 to 120 matches the Rfam family "5.8S ribosomal RNA", at positions 35 to 154 of the family's 154-position model. The record is from RNAcentral.